UACGUAGGGGGCGAGCGUUAUCCGGAUUUACUGGGUGUAAAGGGAGCGUAGACGGCUGGUCAAGUCUGAAGUGAAAGCCCGGGGCUUAACCCCGGAACGGUUUUGGAAACUGAGCAGCUAGAGUGCUGGAGAGGUAAGCGGAAUUCCUAGUGUAGCGGUGAAAUGCGUAGAUAUUAGGAGGAACACCAGUGGCGGAGGCGGCUUACUGGACAGUAACUGACGUUGAGGCUCGAAAGCGUGGGGAGCAAACAGG
Molecule: ribosomal RNA, 253 nt
Filed under: uncultured bacterium
Lineage: Bacteria
Description: partial 16S ribosomal RNA
Rfam family: Bacterial small subunit ribosomal RNA
Source: RNAcentral